Molecule: ribosomal RNA, 454 nt
Filed under: uncultured bacterium
Lineage: Bacteria
Description: bacterial SSU rRNA
Rfam family: Bacterial small subunit ribosomal RNA
Source: RNAcentral
UACGGAAGGCAGCAGUGGGGAAUAUUGCACAAUGGGCGCAAGCCUGAUGCAGCCAUGCCGCGUGUAUGAAGAAGGCCUUCGGGUUGUAAAGUACUUUCAGCGGGGAGGAAGGCGAUGCGGUUAAUAACCGCGUCGAUUGACGUUACCCGCAGAAGAAGCACCGGCUAACUCCGUGCCAGCAGCCGCGGUAAUACGGAGGGUGCAAGCGUUAAUCGGAAUUACUGGGCGUAAAGCGCACGCAGGCGGUCUGUUAAGUCAGAUGUGAAAUCCCCGGGCUUAACCUGGGAACUGCAUUUUGAAACUGGCAGGCUUGAGUCUUGUAGAGGGGGUAGAAUUCCAGGUGUAGCGGUGAAAUGCGUAGAGAUCUGGAGGAAUACCGGUGGCGAAGGCGGCCCCUGGGACAAAGCUGACGCUCAGGGUGCGAAAGCUGGGGAGCAAACAGGAUUAGGAUACC